UGUCAAGAAGGAAGGCUUAACCCCC
Molecule: non-coding RNA, 25 nt
Filed under: Cricetulus griseus (Chinese hamster)
Lineage: Eukaryota; Metazoa; Chordata; Mammalia; Rodentia; Cricetidae
Source: RNAcentral